UACAGAGGGUGCGAGCGUUGUUCGGAAUUACUGGGCGUAAAGCGCACGUAGGCGGCGAUUUAAGUCAGAGGUGAAAGCCCGGGGCUCAACCCCGGAACUGCCUUGAGACUGGAUUGCUAGAAUCUUGGAGAGGCGAGUGGAAUUCCGAGUGUAGAGGUGAAAUUCGUAGAUAUUCGGAAGAACACCAGUGGCGAAGGCGGCUCGCUGGACAAGUAUUGACGCUGAGGUGCGAAAGGCGUGGGGAGCAAACAGG
This 253-nucleotide ribosomal RNA is filed under the name uncultured bacterium. RNAcentral describes it as "partial 16S ribosomal RNA". It matches the Rfam family "Bacterial small subunit ribosomal RNA", at positions 524 to 776 of the family's 1533-position model. The record is from RNAcentral.